Gracilinanus agilis (Agile Gracile Mouse Opossum) is the source of this 107-nucleotide small nuclear RNA. Lineage: Eukaryota; Metazoa; Chordata; Mammalia; Didelphimorphia; Didelphidae. The record is from RefSeq and is a predicted model, not a curated record.
GUGCCUGCUUUGGCAGCACAUAUAUUAAAGUUGGAAUGAUAUAGACAAGACUAGCAUGGCCCCUGAACUGGGAAGACACACAAAUUCAUGAAGUAAUCAACAUGUUA